RNAcentral lists this ribosomal RNA (404 nucleotides) under Actinomycetes bacterium. Its description in RNAcentral is "Actinobacteria bacterium partial 16S ribosomal RNA". It matches the Rfam family "Bacterial small subunit ribosomal RNA", at positions 355 to 776 of the family's 1533-position model. Lineage: Bacteria; Bacillati; Actinomycetota; Actinomycetes. The record is from RNAcentral.
UGGGGAAUAUUGGACAAUGGGCGCAAGCCUGAUCCAGCCAUGCCGCGUGAGUGAUGAAGGCCCUAGGGUUGUAAAGCUCUUUCACCGGUGAAGAUAAUGACGGUAACCGGAGAAGAAGCCCCGGCUAACUUCAUGCCCGCAGCCGCGGUAAUACGAAGGGGGCUAGCGUUGUUCGGAUUUACUGGGCGUAAAGCGCACGUAGGCGGACUAUUAAGUCAGGGGUGAAAUCCCGGGGCUCAACCCCGGAACUGCCUUUGAUACUGGUAGUCUUGAGUUCGAGAGAGGUGAGUGGAAUUCCGAGUGUAGAAGUGAAAUUCGUAGAUAUUCGGAGGAACACCAGUGGCGAAGGCGGCUCACUGGCUCGAUACUGACGCUGAGGUGCGAAAGCGUGGGGAGCAAACAGG